This 95-nucleotide small nucleolar RNA is filed under the name Clohesyomyces aquaticus. Its description in RNAcentral is "A. fumigatus snoRNA Afu_264". It matches the Rfam family "A. fumigatus snoRNA Afu_264". The record is from Rfam by way of RNAcentral. Lineage: Eukaryota; Fungi; Ascomycota; Dothideomycetes; Pleosporales; Lindgomycetaceae.
CCCCAGAAUGAUGAACUAUUCCUUACUUUAUUUUCUGGUACCUCUUAUGUCAGCCUCUGCUUGCAGGGGCGAUGAUCUAAAUGGACUCUCUGAUC